UUUUAGUGUAGCCCAUGAGUUUUCGUGUCCAAUUUUAAUCGUCCGUCUUAUUUAAAUUUUUUUUAUAAUUAGUAUUUUUAUUGUUAUAAGAUGAUAAAACAUGAUAAGUAUCUUAUGUGUGACUUAUAUUUUUAAUUUUUUUUUCUAAAUAAGACAACAAUCGAAGUUAGGCACGAAAAACUAUAGAUGCACUUAAA
MicroRNA precursor from Oryza sativa Japonica Group (Japanese rice), 197 nucleotides. It matches the Rfam family "MIR812 microRNA precursor family". The record is from Rfam. Lineage: Eukaryota; Viridiplantae; Streptophyta; Magnoliopsida; Poales; Poaceae.